RNAcentral lists this ribosomal RNA (255 nucleotides) under uncultured bacterium. RNAcentral describes it as "partial 16S ribosomal RNA". It matches the Rfam family "Bacterial small subunit ribosomal RNA", at positions 524 to 776 of the family's 1533-position model. The record is from RNAcentral.
UACAGAGGUCUCAAGCGUUUGUUCGGAUUCAUUGGGCGUAAAGGGUGCGUAGGCGGCGCGGUAAGUCGGGUGUGAAAUCUCGGAGCUUAACUCCGAAACUGCAUUCGAUACUGCCGUGCUUGAGGACUGGAGAGGAGACUGGAAUUUACGGUGUAGCGGUGAAAUGCGUAGAUAAUCGUAAGGAAGACCAGUGGCGAAAGGCGGGUCUCUGGACAGUUCCUGACGUGAUGCACGAAGGUCAGGGGAGCAAACGGG